RNAcentral lists this ribosomal RNA (106 nucleotides) under Parcubacteria group bacterium. RNAcentral also lists the same sequence under 1 other name. The record is from RNAcentral.
GUUGGUGGUUUGGCGAUAGGGCUACACCUGUUCUCAUUCCGAACACAGAAGUUAAGCCUGUUAGCACCGAUGGUAGUCGCAAGGCGAGAGUAGGUCACCGCCAACU